RNAcentral lists this ribosomal RNA (496 nucleotides) under uncultured bacterium. Its description in RNAcentral is "partial 16S ribosomal RNA". It matches the Rfam family "Bacterial small subunit ribosomal RNA", at positions 30 to 523 of the family's 1533-position model. The record is from RNAcentral.
AUUGAACGCUGGCGGCAUGCUUUACACAUGCAAGUCGAACGGUAGAGGGGGCAACCCCUUGAGCGUGGCGAACGGGUGAGUAAUGCAUCGGAACGUGCCCAGUCGUGGGGGAUAACGCAGCGAAAGCUGUUAUAAUACCGCAUACGACCUCUGGAUGGAAGCGGGGGACCGAAAGGCCUCGCGCGAUUGGAGCGGCCGAGGUCAGAUUAGGUAGUUGGUGGGGUAAAAGCUAACAAAGCCAACGAGCUGUAACUGGUCUGAGAGAACGACCAGCCACACUGGAACUAAAACACGGCCCAGACUCCUACGGGAGGCAGCAGUGGGGAAUUUUGAACUAUGGUCGCAAGCCUGAUCCAGCAAUGCCGCGUGGAGGAAGAAGGCCUUCGGGUUGUAAACCGCUUUCGUACGGAACGAAAAGGUUUGGGUUAAUACCCUGGGCCGAUGACGGUACCGUAAGAAUAAGCACCGGCUAACUACGUGCCAGCCGCCGCGGUAA